UACGGAGGAUGCAAGCGUUAUCCGGAAUGAUUGGGCGUAAAGAGUCCGUAGGUGGUUAUUCAAGUCGAUUGUUAAAGAGCGGGGCUUAACCCCGUAGAAGCAGUGGAAACUGAAUAACUAGAGAGAGGUAGGGGUAGAGGGAAUUCCCGGUGUAGCGGUGAAAUGCGUAGAGAUCGGGAAGAACACCAGUGGCGAAAGCGCUCUACUGGGCCUCAUCUGACACUGAGGGACGAAAGCUAGGGGAGCAAACAGG
Molecule: ribosomal RNA, 253 nt
Filed under: uncultured bacterium
Lineage: Bacteria
Description: partial 16S ribosomal RNA
Rfam family: Bacterial small subunit ribosomal RNA
Source: RNAcentral